This is a long non-coding RNA of Manis javanica (Malayan pangolin), 1877 nucleotides long. RefSeq lists it as uncharacterized. The record is from RefSeq and is a predicted model, not a curated record. Lineage: Eukaryota; Metazoa; Chordata; Mammalia; Pholidota; Manidae.
AUUUUCCAGAUCUCCUUCCCAGCCUGAGGGGGAACCUCCUCCGCCCGCCACACCCCUACCCGCAGGCUGCUGCGACCCUCGGCGGCCGUACGGGAGUCGCGGCUGUUGGACGGAGGCGGCGCCGCAACCAGCGCGUCGCUGGCCGCGAGCAGGUCGGCCGGUUCCAGAGACUGACUCUCCCCGUGCUCAUCAAAGAACUGAAAACAGUCCCGGCCAAUGGAAGGCGGCAAGGGAGCGACCAGCCGCCACUCGGAUGCCCAGACCGUCCGUCCACUAGGGCCUUAAGAGGACUCUGGGCUGGGAAAGUUGGCCCAAUAACAUCACAACUCAGAAAAACUUUAAGCCGCCGAACCUCCAACUGGUAAUUUGCGCAUGCUGGGGACACAUCUAUCUGAUCUCUUAGAACUAAGUUACUGCAUCGUCCUUCUGAAGAGAUUGAACUUGACACUUUAUGAAUCAGUUUUUUCUUCUUGUAUGCAAUGGAAGAGUUUUUAAGGAGAGGGAGAGAAGUGAAACUGUUCUUUGGGGAUGGAAGGGAGGCAAAAAUUGAACCUACUUUAAAAAGACUCAAAAGCUUGUGUUUACUAAUGAAUUAAUAAUCCGUUAAUAUACCGUAAGAAAUAUAUUGGAACUGUAUUUUCAAACACUUAAUACCUACUAUGCAAAACACUAUGCCAACAGCUUUGAGGUAUCACAAAUACAAGACGAUGCUUGAGGAAUCUAGUCCCAGUAAAAAGUAGGUAACUCAAGUUCAGCUUCACUGUUCGAGAGGUUCCUGUUGGCCCGGGGAAACUGCAGAUUUAACAGACUGCCUUCAUUAAAGGAGCGUAUUCCUUAUCAUGGAAUAUAUCAUUUAAACAGAACCUUUAAAGUUUCUGCAAUAUCUGACUCGAACGUUUCCAGUUUGCUCCCACGCUUCUGACUUGAAUUCACUAAGAACAAAAACUGCCCUUUUCCUAAAGCCCUAAAAGCUGGAGCUGGAUGACCUGAUAGAAACUGCAGAGAAAUCACAUCAGCUCGUGUAUGGACAAACUUUGUGUCUUUGCUGUGUGGGCCACUCAGAAAGUUCACUGCAACACCUUAUGACAUCACCAGAGAUACUCAAACUGCAAACCAAGCAAAUCUAUCAGACUGCCAUUGCCUCUCCUCACUCUGACUAAAGACGCUUCCAGCCCAACAACUAGAAAUCUUGAUUAACUUCCCUCUGGUCUGUUUUCACAACCUUCUGUUUUUCUCUUGUUUCCAUAGAAAUACCUGUUAUUAAAUAUAUGAUUGCUUGCACAAUAUAGACUAACUUUAGGAGCCCAUCUGCAAUACCAGCUCCCGAACUGAGACACAAAUCUUGGACUUAACUGACCCAUUCUCAGGAGUAAGAGACGGAUUCAGCGAGAUAUGGAACAAUCUACCAACUCAAGCUCUGGACUGUGAGACUUACUGGGAAAUUUCAAAGGCAGGAAUGAAGAGUAACAGAAUAUGCCACCCUAAAAUACGCCUCUUGGCAUAAGGAUUGACUCAAGUUGAUUAAAAACACAGGGGAAGCUAAGGAAAUUUACAUUUAAAAGGAAGUCUCUAUUUGUAAGGCUGUCUCCCUCUCUAUACCAGCCAGAGAAAGAUGCUUAAAUCACAAGAAUCUUGUCAAUGGAGAAGACACUGAUACAAAUCUGCAAAACAGACCUUACUGCUUGUUUACUGUGCUUUUCCUGGUAAGUCCUAUCCCUAGCCUCCCCGCCCCCACCCCAACAUCUUUCUUUUGUCUUUACAGAAGAUGGUAUUUAAGGUGGUGGCCUGGGCCUUGUUAGGGAGUUACUUGUUCUUCUUGGGUAUCUCAUGUAUGCAUGAAAUAUAUAUGCCAAUAAACUUUUUUUUUCUUUUGUUAA